UACGUAGGGUGCAAGCGUUGUCCGGAAUUAUUGGGCGUAAAGAGCUCGUAGGCGGUUUGUUGCGUCGGCUGUGAAAACCCGAGGCUCAACCUCGGGCCUGCAGUGGGUACGGGCAGACUAGAGUGCGGUAGGGGAGAUUGGAAUUCCUGGUGUAGCGGUGGAAUGCGCAGAUAUCAGGAGGAACACCAAUGGCGAAGGCAGAUCUCUGGGCCGUAACUGACGCUGAGGAGCGAAAGCAUGGGGAGCGAACAGG
RNAcentral lists this ribosomal RNA (253 nucleotides) under uncultured bacterium. RNAcentral's name for it is "partial 16S ribosomal RNA". It matches the Rfam family "Bacterial small subunit ribosomal RNA", at positions 524 to 776 of the family's 1533-position model. The record is from RNAcentral.